This 65-nucleotide transfer RNA is filed under the name Cavia porcellus (domestic guinea pig). It matches the Rfam family "tRNA". Rfam says of the family: Transfer RNA (tRNA) molecules are approximately 80 nucleotides in length. The record is from Rfam by way of RNAcentral. Lineage: Eukaryota; Metazoa; Chordata; Mammalia; Rodentia; Caviidae.
GGCAUAGCUCAGUAGUAGAGCUUGUGCUUAGUAUGCAUAAGGCCCUAGAUUCAAUCCCCAGUGCC